Molecule: transfer RNA, 70 nt
Filed under: Hydatigera taeniaeformis
Lineage: Eukaryota; Metazoa; Platyhelminthes; Cestoda; Cyclophyllidea; Taeniidae
Description: tRNA-Thr
Source: RNAcentral
UGAUGGUUAUUUAGUUUAAUAAAAAUAUGGGUUUUGUAGUCCUAAGAUGAUUUUAAUCAUUAACCUAAUU